UUGGAAACGACUGCUAAUACCCCAUACUCCUUUUUGACACAAGUUGAAUCGGGAAAGUUUUUUCGCUGAAGGAUGGGGCUAUAUGGUAUCAGCUAGUUGGUGAGGUAAGAGCUCACCAAGGCAAUGACGCCUAGCUGGUCUGAGAGGAUGAUCAACCACACUGGAACUGAGACACGGUCCAGACUCCUACGGGAGGCAGCAGUGGGGAAUAUUGCACAAUGGGGGAAACCCUGAUGCAGCAACGCCGCGUGGAGGAAGAAGCAUUUCGGUGUGUAAACUCCUUUUAUAUAGGAAGAUAAUGACGGUACUAUAUGAAUAAGCACCGGCUAACUCCGUGCCAGCAGCCGCGGUAAUACGGAGGGUGCAAGCGUUACUCGGAAUCACUGGGCGUAAAGCGCAUGCAGGCGGUUUAUUAAGUUGGAAGUGAAAUCCUAUGGCUUAACCAUAGAACUGCUUCCAAAACUGAUGAACUAGAGUCUGGGAGGGGAGAAUGGAAUUAGUAGUGUAGGGGUAAAAUCCGUAGAGAUUACUAGGAAUACCAAAAGCGAAGGCGAUUCUCUGGAACAGUACUGACGCUGAGAUGCGAAAGCGUGGGGAGCAAACAGGAUUAGAUACCCUGGUAGUCCACGCAGUAAACGAUGAAUGUUAGUCGUUGGAGUGCUAGACACUUCAGUGAUGCAGUUAACACAUUAAACAUUCCGCCUGGGGAGUACGGUCGCAAGAUUAAAACUCAAAGGAAUAGACGGGGACCCGCACAAGUGGUGGAGCAUGUGGUUUAAUUCGAAGAUACGCGAAGAACCUUACCUAGCCUUGACAUAUAUCAGAACCGGUCAGAGACGACGGGGUGCCUUCGGGAGCUGAUAUACAGGUGCUGCACGGCUGUCGUCAGCUCGUGUCGUGAGAUGUUGGGUUAAGUCCCGCAACGAGCGCAACCCUCGUCCUUAGUUGCUAACAGUUAGGCUGAGCACUCUAAGGAGACUGCCCGGGCAACCGGGAGGAAGGUGAGGACGACGUCAAGUCAUCAUGGCCCUUAUGGCUAGGGCUACACACGUGCUACAAUGGGGAGGACAAAGAGAGGCGAUACCGCGAGGUGGAGCAAAUCUUAAAACCUUCUCUCAGUUCGGAUUGGAGUCUGCAACUCGACUCCAUGAAGCUGGAAUCGCUAGUAAUCGUGAAUCAGCAAUGUCACGGUG
RNAcentral lists this ribosomal RNA (1193 nucleotides) under uncultured bacterium. Its description in RNAcentral is "bacterial SSU rRNA". It matches the Rfam family "Bacterial small subunit ribosomal RNA", at positions 150 to 1364 of the family's 1533-position model. The record is from RNAcentral.